This is a long non-coding RNA of Ostrea edulis (European flat oyster), 620 nucleotides long. RefSeq lists it as uncharacterized. The record is from RefSeq and is a predicted model, not a curated record. Lineage: Eukaryota; Metazoa; Mollusca; Bivalvia; Ostreida; Ostreidae. The transcript has 2 exons.
GAUUUUGUUAUUUUAAAUAAAUAGUUUUAUAAACUGGUGUUAUUAUCAAUCUAACUUAAGUAUUCAAAGUAUUCGGUUUACAACUUUUAUAAUUCUUCGCCCCGUGUUUACUUUCGGUUUCAUUUUGGAAACGUGAGACAGUUGCUUGCAAGUUCAGCUAGUAGUUGGUGACUGCGAGGCAUUCAAGUACAUAUUUUAUAAACAUUUAAAAUGGACGGUUCUUUGCGAGACGAUGGCAAUAGUGACAAGCAUUUAGAAAAAAGAGUAGACAAACUUGGAGAGCUAGGCCUAGAUCGUACUCUGAAAAGAAAAAUCCACCAAAGAAAGCAAAGUGUCCAGCUGUCAGCUGAUGUACAAGAAUUUUGAGAAGCCCAGUCACAAGUUACAUCAGAUGAUGGCGAUUCAAUAAAUUAUUAUAUUGAAGAACGAAGUAUGGAAGAACCUGCGAAUGUUGAAGCGGUACAACGAUUAAUCGAAGAGGCAUUAUCUUUUACAGUGAAGAUGAUGACAGUGAUUUAAUUUCCAAUGAGAAAUGGCAUGAUCUAAUGGACUUUCCAGAAAUGAUAGCUGAUGAUUGAAUUUUUGUAUUGUAAAUAAAAUUGUAUAAAAUUUAACCUGCA